RNAcentral lists this ribosomal RNA (416 nucleotides) under uncultured bacterium. Its description in RNAcentral is "bacterial SSU rRNA". It matches the Rfam family "Bacterial small subunit ribosomal RNA", at positions 362 to 776 of the family's 1533-position model. The record is from RNAcentral.
UAUNGGUCAAUGGUCGGGAGACUGAACCAGCNAAGCCGCGUGAGGGAGGAAGGUACAGAGUAUCGUAAACCUCUUUUGUCAGGGAACAAAGGCGGGGACGUGUCCCCGGAUGAGUGUACCUGAAGAAAAAGCAUCGGCUAACUCCGUGCCAGCAGCCGCGGUAAUACGGAAGAUGCGAGCGUUAUCCGAAUUUAUUGGGUUUAAAGGGUGCGCAGGCGGUCUGUUAAGCCAGCGGUCAAAGCCCGGGGCUCAACCCCGGCCCGCCGUUGAAACUGGCAGUCUCGAGUUGGAGAGAAGUAUGCGGAGUGCGCGGUGUAGCGGUGAAAUGCAUAGAUAUCGCGCAGAACUCCGAUUGCGAAGGCAGCAUGCCGGCUCCACACCGACGCUGAGGCACGAAAGCGUGGGUAUCGAACAGG